Molecule: ribosomal RNA, 399 nt
Filed under: uncultured bacterium
Lineage: Bacteria
Description: bacterial SSU rRNA
Rfam family: Bacterial small subunit ribosomal RNA
Source: RNAcentral
AUUGAACGCUGGCGGAAUGCUUUACGCAUGCAAGUCGAGCGGCAGCGCGGGGGCAACCCUGGCGGCGAGCGGCGAACGGGUGAGUAAUGCAUCGGAACGUACCCAGUCGUGGGGGGAUAACGUGGCGAAAGUCACGCUAAUACCGCAUACGUCCUGAGGGAGAAAGCAGGGGAUCGCAAGACCUUGCGCGAUUGGAGCGGCCGAUGUCUGAUUAGCUAGUUGGUGGGGUAAAGGCCUACCAAGGCGACGAUCAGUAGCUGGUCUGAGAGGACGAUCAGCCACACUGGGACUGAGACACGGCCCAGACUCCUACGGGAGGCAGCAGUGGGGAAUUUUGGACAAUGGGCGAAAGCCUGAUCCAGCCAUUCCGCGUGAGUGAAGAAGGCCUCGGUUGUAAAG